AAAGAAUAGAUGAUAGAUAGAUAGAUAGAUAGACACAAGAAGACAGAAAGAAAUACGAACUAAUGAGUAUAUAAAACUCAAAACCCCUAAUUUGAUUAUCCACAAGCACAUAAUCUCUUAUAUUGGCCACAAGAAAAUCGAAACGCCCUUUCAACCAUUGUUUCUAAACAAGAUUCAACAAAACCUUUGCCAAGCUUGCACUUAAUCUCUCAAGAAUUUUCAUAUCUUUAUUAUAAAAACUAAACUAAUAAGAUAAAGACUAAGAUAAUAUAUAUAUAUAUAUUAUAUGGUUUAACUUAUUACAAUGGGCCCAAAAGUGACUUAUUUGCAUUAAUAAAGCAAGGCAGCCCACUCUAGAAUCUUGGGGAAGAUGUGGCGCACAUCAGGGGAAAUUCUAGAGCAACUGAAACUAUUUUGACCUACUCUUGAUCUGCUAGAGCAAGUCGGGCGUACCUCCAAGGCAUAUUGGGCACAUGUCUCUUUCAAAGGGCCUUUUAGCCCCUUCUCACAUUCCCUCAACUCCUCCAAGAACCCUUGAUCCAAUUUAAGUGGAAUCACCAUCACAUGACACCCUUUAUAUAAAAAUAAGAUAUCUUCAAGAACCCCUAACACGAUAAGGAUGACAUCUAAAGAUUCAAAGAUAAUUUGGAUUGUAUUAGUGAUUUCACCCAUCUUCAAUAAAUUUUUUAUAACAAUUUCGAUAAAAAAAUUUGUUGUCGGUGAAAGAAAUUAGAAAAGGUUUUUUCCUUUUUAAGAAAAAAUAAACGAACUUAUUUGUGAUGUUUUAGUGAGUGGGUGCAUUUGAUUAUGAAUGGACAAAUAGAGGUCGUUAAUGGAGGGGUGUUGAAUAGAGUGAGAGUAUUAGUUUAUGGUGUUAAGAAUGAAAGGAGGAAAAGGGGCGAUGCAUGGUAAUUGGCAUUUGUUUCUAGUGUACUAUUUCGGUGUUGAUGG
Molecule: long non-coding RNA, 951 nt
Filed under: Capsicum annuum
Lineage: Eukaryota; Viridiplantae; Streptophyta; Magnoliopsida; Solanales; Solanaceae
Description: long non-coding RNA (CANN_LNC021211)
Source: RNAcentral